UGUACACAUGUGUCACAUAUAUGAAGGUC
RNAcentral lists this non-coding RNA (29 nucleotides) under Rattus norvegicus (Norway rat). The record is from RNAcentral. Lineage: Eukaryota; Metazoa; Chordata; Mammalia; Rodentia; Muridae.